This 429-nucleotide ribosomal RNA is filed under the name uncultured bacterium. RNAcentral's name for it is "bacterial SSU rRNA". It matches the Rfam family "Bacterial small subunit ribosomal RNA", at positions 355 to 774 of the family's 1533-position model. The record is from RNAcentral.
UGCGGAAUUUUAGAUAAUGGAGGCAACUCUGAUCUAGCGACGCCGCGUGCAGGAAGAAGGUCUUCGGAUUGUAAACUGCUGUGGUAAGGGAAAAAUGUCAUGUAGAGUGGAAAGCUACAUGGAGGGAUGGUACCUUACUAGAAAGCCCCGGCUAACUACGUGCCAGCAGCCGCGGUAAUACGUAGGGGGCGAGCGUUACCCGGAAUCACUGGGCGUAAAGGGAGCGUAGGUGGCCUGACAUGUCAACUGUGAAAACCCGGAGCUCAACUCCGGACUUGCAGUUGAAACUGCCAGGCUUGAGGACGGUAGAGGAAGACGGAACUGCCAGUGUAGGGGUAAAAUCCUUAGAUAUUGGCAGGAACGCCGGUGACGAAGGUGGUUUUCUGGGCCGGUUCUGACACUGAUGCUCGAAAGCCAGGGGAGCGAACG